CAAUAGCGUAUAUUAAAGUUGUUGCGGUUAAAAAGCUCGUAGUUGGAUUUCGGUUGAGAACGGCCGGUCCGCCGUUUGGUGUGCACUGGCUGGUCUCAACUUCCUGUAGAGGACGCGCUCUGGGUUAACGCUCGGACGCGGAGUCUACGUGGUUACUUUGAAAAAAUUAGAGUGUUCAAAGCAGGCUUAUGCCUUGGAUAUGUUAGCAUGGAAUAAUAAGAUAAGACUUUGGCGGUCUAUUUUGUUGGUUUGCACGCCAUUGUAAUGAUUGAUAGGGACAGUUGGGGGUAUUCAUAUUUAAUUGUCAGAGGUGAAAUUCUUGGAUUUAUGAAAGAUGAACUACUGCGAAAGCAUUUACCAAGGAUGUUUUCAUUAAUCAAGAACGAAAGUUAGGGGAUCGAAGAUGAUCAGAU
RNAcentral lists this ribosomal RNA (413 nucleotides) under uncultured eukaryote. RNAcentral describes it as "bacterial SSU rRNA". It matches the Rfam family "Eukaryotic small subunit ribosomal RNA", at positions 592 to 1013 of the family's 1831-position model. The record is from RNAcentral.